AAAAAGGUUUAGAUUUCAUUUGGCUAAUAAAUCAAUAACCUAUGCAUUCUUGAUCAGCAAUAUGCAGAUAUAUGACUCUUUCUCAAACUGUGGUCCGCGGGCGCCCUCUAGCGGUCCGUGAGGUACUGCAUGUAAACAACCGUUUAUUUGCCGUUACGUUAGUAGCUCAAAGUGCUACGCUACAGUUAGCUUACCAAAGGAUUGUGUUUAUAAAAUAAUAAUGGAUACAUGGCUUAAAACCGGUCACUAAAAAGAAAACCUAAAGAUAGCGGUGGAAAAUUUCACAGGGUAGCAUCUGCCCAACUCUGACCUGGUUGUGAUGGCUGCCGGGACGUUCGCUUGAAGUCCGGCUCUCCUCCAGUGAAGGCCGGUGGCCACUCUUUGAAGGACUCUGCUCGCCAUGUUUCCCUGAAGGCAGUUAGAGUCGGAGGCUGAUGGAGGCGGCUGCAGCAGAGCCACAGUCCAGGCUGCUUACUGGGCAGCUGACCGGGCGACGUAACGCAGGAGAACAAUGUGGAGGAUGAUAAACGAGCUUACAAACA
Molecule: long non-coding RNA, 542 nt
Organism: Xiphophorus couchianus (Monterrey platyfish)
Lineage: Eukaryota; Metazoa; Chordata; Actinopteri; Cyprinodontiformes; Poeciliidae
Exons: 2
Source: RefSeq, a predicted model, not a curated record